CCUACGGGUGGCUGCAGUGGGGGAUAUUGCACAAUGGGGGAAACCCUGAUGCAGCGACGCCGCGUGUGGGAAGACGGUCUUCUGGAUUGUAAACCACUGUCCCCAGGGACGAAAAUGACGGUACCUGGGGAGGAAGCUCCGGCUAACUACGUGCCAGAAGCCGCGGUAAUACGUAGGGAGCAAGCGUUGUCCGGAAGUACUGGGUGUAAAGGGAGCGUAGGCGGGGAUGCAAGUUGGGUGUAAAAACUACCGGCUCAACCGAUAGUCGCACAUAAAACUGCAGCUCUUGAGUGAAGUAGAGGCAAGCGGAAUUCCUAGUGUAGCGGUGAAAUGCGUAGAUAUUAGGAAGAACACCAGUGGCGAAGGCGGCCUGCUGGUCUAUUACUGACGCUGAGGCUCGAAAGUGUGGGGAGCAAACAGGAUUAGAUACCCGAGUAGUC
This 440-nucleotide ribosomal RNA is filed under the name uncultured bacterium. RNAcentral's name for it is "partial 16S ribosomal RNA". It matches the Rfam family "Bacterial small subunit ribosomal RNA", at positions 338 to 795 of the family's 1533-position model. The record is from RNAcentral.